This 393-nucleotide ribosomal RNA is filed under the name Bulbitermes sp. D TB-2017. RNAcentral's name for it is "partial 16S ribosomal RNA". The stretch from base 181 to 341 matches the Rfam family "Bacterial large subunit ribosomal RNA", at positions 2473 to 2632 of the family's 2925-position model. Lineage: Eukaryota; Metazoa; Arthropoda; Insecta; Blattodea; Termitidae. The record is from RNAcentral.
ACCCUAUAGAGUUUGACAUCUGUUCUUAUUUGUUUGAUUGUUUGUUUAUAUUUAUUGAGUGGGAGAUAUGUUUUGUUGGGGUGAUGGGAGUAAUAUUAUUUAACUUCUCUUUGUUUUUAUAUAUUUAUUUAUAUUGAUUUUGAUCCAUUUAUUUUGAUUAUAAGAUUAAAUUACCUUAGGGAUAACAGCGUUAUCCUCCUUGAGAGUUCUUAUUGGCGGGGGGGUUUGCGACCUCGAUGUUGGAUUAAGGUGAAUUUUCGGUGCAGGAGCUGAAGUUGAUUAGGUCUGUUCGACCUUUAAAAUCUUACAUGAUCUGAGUUCAGACCGGCGUGAGCCAGGUUGGUUUCUAUCUAUAAGAGUUGUUUUAUAUUUUAGUACGAGAGGACCGGAUAU